GUUGGUAUGGGUGAAAAGGGAAUCUGGUGAGAAUCCAGAGCGAAGCCGUCACUGUGUUAGGAAGUCUGCAUUUAUGUCACUGAGCAUGCUUGGGAAGAAAAUGUAGAUGUUGAUCGAAGUCAGGAGACCUGCCUAUUCUUCA
RNAcentral lists this non-coding RNA (142 nucleotides) under uncultured Pseudobutyrivibrio sp. The record is from RNAcentral. Lineage: Bacteria; Bacillati; Bacillota; Clostridia; Lachnospirales; Lachnospiraceae.